GAGUUUGAUCAUGGCUCAGGACGAACGCUGGCGGUGCGCCUUAUGCAUGCAAGUUGAGCGAAGCUUUUUGGUAGUUUACUACUAGAAAUGACUGAGCGGCGAACGGGUGAGUAACGCGUGAGCAAUCUACCUUAGUUACUGGGAUAGCCCGAGGAAACUCGGAUUAAUACCGGAUAUUCUUAUUUUUUCACAUGAAGUUUUAAGGAAAGGUCAGCCGAACUAAGAUGAGCUCGCGUUCUAUCAGCUAGUUGGUGGGGUAAAAGCCUACCAAGGCUACGACGGAUAGCUGGUCUGAGAGGACGAUCAGCCACACUGGGACUGAGACACGGCCCAGACUCCUACGGGAGGCUGCAGCAGGGAAUAUUGUGCAAUGAGCGAAAGCUUGACACAGCGACACCGCGUGUGGGAUGACGGUUCUAGGAUUGUAAACCACUUUCAGGAGGGUAGAAAAUGACGGUACCUCCACAAGAAGACCCGGCCAACUAUGUGCCAGCAGCCGCGGUAAUACAUAGGGGUCAAGCGUUGUCCGGAUUUAUUGGGCGUAAAGAGCUCGUAGGCGGUUCAACAAGUCGGUCGUAAAAGUUUAGGGCUCAACCCUAAAAUGUCGAUCGAUACUGUUGUGACUAGGAUACGGUAGAGGUGAAUGGAAUUCCGAGUGUAGCGGUGAAAUGCGUAGAUAUUCGGAGGAACACCAAUUGCGAAGGCAGUUCACUGGACCGUGAUCGACGCUGAGGAGCGAAAGCUAGGGGAGCAAACAGGAUUAGAUACCCUGGUAGUCCUAAGCGUUAAACAAGAUACUCUAAAGUAGGGAACGGGAUGAGGGUUUUUUUUCUAGACAAACCGUUAAAUUCCCCCCUGAAAAUCCUUUCCCAAAUAAAAAUCAAAAGAAUUGACGGGCCCCCCCCAGGGGGGGGACCGUGGGGUUUAUUUGGAUUAUACCCGGAAACCUUUCCUGGCUUUGACAUAUAGGGAAAAACGGGGGAGAAUCCCGUUGGGGAGGCCCCCCUAACCCAGGGGGGCAGGGGCUGUUCUCCACCUGGUUUGGGGGAAUGUGGGUUAGUCCCCCCAAGAGGGCCCACCCCCUGUUCUUUUGUUCCCACGCAAGAAAAUUUGGGGGAUCUAUUAGGAAGCUGUGCCGGGUGAUAAACCGAAGAAAAGUUGGGGAGGAGCGUCUCAAGUUACUAUUGCCCCUUAAUGUUCAAGGGCUGCAACGCCAUGCUACACAAUGGCAAGGUACAACGGAGUGUCGCAAUUACCGGGGAGGGUGGAGCAAAAUUCUUUUAAAGCUUGUCUCAGUUCGGGAUAGGAGUCUGCAACUCGACUCCUUGAAGUUGGAGUCGCUAGUAAUCGCAAAUCAGCAAAGUUGCGGUGAAUACGUUCUCGGGGUUUGUACACACCGCCCGUCAAGUCACGGAAGUCGGCAAUACGCGAAGCCAGUGGUCUAACCCUUUGGGGAAGAAGCUGUCGAACGUAGGGUUGGUAACUGGGACUAAGUCGUAACAAGGUAACC
Molecule: ribosomal RNA, 1510 nt
Filed under: uncultured marine bacterium
Lineage: Bacteria
Description: bacterial SSU rRNA
Rfam family: Bacterial small subunit ribosomal RNA
Source: RNAcentral